UACGGAGGGUGCAAACGUUGCUCGGAAUCAUUGGGCGUAAAGCGCACGUAGGUGGCCUGUUAAGUCGGGUGUGAAAUCCCUGGGCUCAACCCAGGAAGUGCACUCGAAACUGGCGGGCUUGAGUACUGAAGAGGGUCGCGGAAUUCCCGGUGUAGAGGUGAAAUUCGUAGAUAUCGGGAGGAACACCAGUGGCGAAGGCGGCGACCUGGGCAGAUACUGACACUGAGGUGCGAAAGCGUGGGGAGCAAACAGG
Molecule: ribosomal RNA, 253 nt
Filed under: uncultured bacterium
Lineage: Bacteria
Description: partial 16S ribosomal RNA
Rfam family: Bacterial small subunit ribosomal RNA
Source: RNAcentral